Megalobrama amblycephala (Wuchang bream) is the source of this 1150-nucleotide long non-coding RNA. RefSeq lists it as uncharacterized. NCBI's taxonomy places the organism in Eukaryota, Metazoa, Chordata, Actinopteri, Cypriniformes, Xenocyprididae. The record is from RefSeq and is a predicted model, not a curated record. The transcript has 3 exons.
UAAUAUUAUUUAAAUGAACUAGGCUAACGUUGAACAGAUGUGUGUUCAUCUCAUCCUCACAGACUGCUGCAUAUUUACCGGUUCUUGCUGUGAGAUGUUACUCCACUCUUCCAUCAAGACACUUGCUAGUUCUCGUAGCCUACAUGCCGGGGGAACAUGUGGUUUGGCACUGCAAGGAAGCUGUCCUUCCUGUAGCACUGUCUUAGGUGUCUUACAUUACGGACAUUGCAGUUUAAUUCUCUGUUCACAUCUGCAGUCCUCAUGCCUCCUGCAGCAGGUUAGAGGGUCGGACUUGUAACCCAAAGGUUGCGGGUUAGUGAAUGUACAGCGCUCUCUUCCACUCUCAAUACCACGACUGAGGUGAGACCAUUGAGGCACCGAACCCCCAACUACAAAAAAAAAAAAAAAAAGGAUGUUCAACCAGGUGAUCAGGGACCCUGGACAUAUUUCUCCUGGGCUGUGUCCGAAAUCGGCCCCUAUACUGGGCACUAUUUGAGGGAACAGCCAUUUGUCUUUUGUUCCCGCGUCUGACCAGAAGAUGGCGCCCGCAGCUGAAUCAUUCAUCAAUCUAUUUUCCAAACCGCUGGUCCAAUGUGGCUACAGCGUAAUAUCAAUACAGUAAGCAAAGGGAGGUGUGGUGGUCCCAACCUUAUCAAGCUCACUCCUGCAUCAGACCCUGCUCUCCUCUUGUUUCCUUUAAGUGCAAUCUAUGUUUUUUCGCACCUUCGGAAUCCAUGACAGAUUUUCAGAUAAGCCUGAGCAACUUUGAUGAAGGAAAUUGAAGACAAAAUAUGACACGGGUGAAAAGGACGGCGUGUGUUCUUAUUAUUGCCUCAGUGCCUUGAUGUACAAUUUUUAUUAAAUAAAUGUGAGACUGAAUUUCUUAAAUUAUUUCAUUUCUUCAGAAAAUUGGAUUUUGAUGUAUUUUAAGGUUUUUUUUACCAGUAUUUUUUCAUUUGUCUAAAUUUAUGAUCAAGUUUUUUUUGUACAAUUUAAAUGUAUAUAAAUUUUAUCUCUGGAUUACUAGUUAAACUUUCACAUGAAUCAUACUGUUCCUGGUAGCAACUAUAAAGUACUUCAUCAUUGUCAGGCAAUUGUAACACUCGUUAAAAAAUAAAAAUUGUUUGAAUUAAUUGAAAGAUUGAAAUGC